CAUCGGCAUGGUGGACUUCCCAGAAGCACUCUACGACUUUGGCUCUAGUGUCAACAUUAUGCCCAGGGUACUCUAUGAAAAAUUCUUUACAUGUCCUUUAUUAGAAACAACCAUGUGUUUGCAGUUUGCAGAUCAGACGUUAAGUUUCCCAAAGGGAAUAUUGAAGAACCUCUGCGUCCGAGUUGGUACCUUGUAUGCCCCAGCAGACUUCGUGGUGAUAGAGACCGGUAAUGAUGAGAGGGCACCCAUCAUCUUAGGGAGGCCAUUCUUGAACACUUCGGGAGCUGUCAUCUACGCCAGUGCUGCCAAGAUCAGUUUCUACAUCAAAGGAAGAAAGGAGGCGUUUUCCUUCAAGAACAAGGCUACACAAAUCCCAUAGCAAUCUCGACAUGAACCAAGGAAGAGGACCAACAGGAGGAACAGGAACAAGCAAGUGUGGACCAAGUCAGCUAAGAUGGUCACUGCAGUUCAAGGAGGUCAAGAUCAUCGACUUAAGUCACCGUUUCUGACCAAGAAGGACGACCCAGGAAUGCCAAGCAUCUAUUGCUCCAUUAAUGGAUACAGCUUCUACAAGACACUGUGUGACACCGGAUCGGGCGUCAACAUAAUGGCCGCAGUCACCUAUCGGCUCUUGUUCGGAACUAUGCCUUUAAAACCAACAUACAUUCAGCUCCAGAUGGCAGAUCAGACAUUCCGAAAGGUUGAAGGUAUAGUAACCGAUGUCCCUAUCAAAAUAGACGAUCAUUUUGUCCAUACAGACUUUCAGAUUAUUGACAUGGGAGAAGAUGAGUACGAUCCACCCAUCAUCCUUAGGAGACCUUUCCUCAGCACUGUUAAAGCAAUCAUCUACAUUGGAAGUGGAGAAGUCCACAUGCACUUCCCCUCAGAGAAGGUACGCUGCUAUUUUACUGAUCCUAACUAUAUAGUUGAAGACUCUAAGCAGGUCAGGACAAGAAGAAGACGACGCAACCGUAACCAGAGGUGGGAAAUCAUCAAGGACGGAUGGGCAGACUACGAAGAAGAAGUGGUAAGGUCUGAAGACAUACAGUUCAAACAAAAUUAUCCUGAGGAGACCAUAGCACCAAGUCAGGUGUGGAGAGAGAAGAUAACUAUACACGAAGAAGAGGCGCCGCCGGAAGCACCGACUACGCCACCCAAUAAAUCCCAGGACAACUGAGAAAACGGAGAGUCCCGUUCGAGGACUUAAAAACACCGAACGCCUUGCCAAGAGGUAAACUUGGUAGUUAUCUUUUUCCUUUCAAUUAUUUAAAAUAGUUUGCUUAGUUAAUCAGGUUCAUAUCAUUUUAAAAAAGAAAAUAAAAUGUUAAAAAAUAAUAAGCCACAUGUGAGUAUACAAGUGGCAUAAAACCCAUAAGUACAUUCACUGUGGCGGCAUAAAAAUAAAAUAAAUAUUUUUUCUGCUCUAUAAAAUGAAAAUAUAAAAAUAGAGAGUGACACUUAUUGAGGAGGCUCAACAUGAUAAAGGCUAGAUAUUUAUGCUAACACCUAAUCAGUUCCACAAAGCUUUGUUGUCUAUUUGAGCUCCGCAUAAUUCAAGAAUCAAGAAGACUAGCACACGGAGGACAUUCUAAUCGCUGUCAGGGUACUACCGACUUUCAAAUACAACUCUGCCACCUGCUAGCUACAUUAGAAGAAAUUACGUCAAAAUUCAGCUUGGGAGAGAGCACCCCCAUUUAUCCCGCUAAGUAUUUCUAUCUAUUUAUAUACUAUAUUAAAAUAUAAAUAUACAUAACUAUGAAAAACCAAAUAAAGAUUUUGUGCUUAUAUAUAUAUAUCUUUUGAUUAGUAUGCUUAAUAAAUAAAUAAAGUGGCUAUGCUGAACUGAAUCUUAAUAAUAAAACUCUAGCAUGGAUAUGAUGAAUAGUUACUCUGCCUAAUUUUCAAAUUUGAGUUUUCUCUCAAGUUUAGACAUAACUGUUAUAAUUUAAAGCUUGCUCUAAAUGUGGACUUGUGGGAAGAAAACUUGAUCUAAAGUCUAAGUUGUUAACAGAUAUGAUAUGGGAAGGUUGAGAUGUUGUUUAUCUGUUCCUAGAGAUGCUAGAAUUCUGAAGAAUUUUAUCGUUGAAAAUCUUUAAAAUAACACAUGAUGAGUUCAUGUAUGAUGAGAGUUUAAAUUCCUACCACAACCAUAUAUACAUGCUUGUUAGACUUUGAGCCACACAUUUACUUUUUACUGCUUAUGAGCAUUGAGUGUGGUCAAGCUGUGUAGACCCUUAGGAGCUUGUCAUGUGGUUAAAUCAAGAUUCACUUGCACGUUCACUCACACAUGCUGCUUCUACUCCGAAAGUACGCAUCCACAUAUAAUCACCCAUUUCCAUCUCCAGAACCACUCAAAAACAUUCAACUCCUAACCCGGAAGAGAAUAGCCAAAAAUAUUUCUAUUUUUCCCCUGUGAAAUAAAUGCUCAAGUUAUCUUGAUUACUACCACUUGCUAUAUUAUUUCAAGAGAUGAGUGCUCUAAAAAAAGAAAAAAAAUAAAAAGAUACGAGGAAAUAAAAAUAGGCAAGUGCCCGGAACCUCGAAAGAGAAGAAAAAGUGAGACGAGAGGUAAAAAUGGACAAGUGUCCGACAGUAGAAUUAGGGGUACAAGAUACCCACCUGAGAGAAAAGAAAAAGAAAAUAUAGAGCAUCUCAUUCUCCUCAAAAAGUUUCAAAAGAGCAAGAAAGGUAUGCAUCCCCUCAAAAGAGCAACAAGUAGAAUUAGACUUUCACCAUUGUUAUUACCAUCAUCACCAUACACCAUACAUUCGCCACACAUGCACAUCUUGAUUUGACUUAUUUGACUUGUUUCUUUGGAUCCAUGGUUUGACUAUACAAUAAAUGUCUUGUAAGUAUGUAUACCUUAUUAGAAUAGGGUGAGAGAGAAGGCAAUGUCACUAUGCCUUAUACCACAAAUACCACAUAUUUUGAGAGAAGGCAUAUACCAUCACUGCCUUCGUAAGGAUCCAGAAAUACCACAAAAGAGAGAUCUGAGAGAGUCAUACAAGGAAUCUCUGAGUUUUAUUUGAAAAUCCGCAAAAACUCCAGAGCUAUAGCUGAUCAAGAAUAAGAGACAUGGCACUUGACUAGACCGUUCUAUCUUUUAACUGCUCAAGACAGAAGUGACGGUUACAAGUCCCAUGGUGAAAGGUAAAAUAAGUAAGUUUUAAGUCCUAACAGUUUACUCUAACUCAGAGAUGAGAUCUUAUUUUAAAGUAUGUGUACCGUCAACUUUUAAAGGCAUUACAGCAACUUCUGAUCCAUCACCGAGAUUAUCCUUGCUCAGGGGCGAGCAAGAGGUAAGCUUGGGGGAGUUGUUGACGGUCCUUAAGUAUCAAAUUUAAUUAACAAAUAAACAAAGAAAAGGAUCCAAAUGCAACCAACAUCCAGACUUAGGGUUUUAUCUCACAGAAUUCCACGAGUUUUGGUGUUUGUCUAUUUCUGUAGGGGUUAUCAGAAAAUAUGGAAGAAAGGCCCACACGUCGGGUUUACAUAGAGAUAUUAACGUGCCGCGCAAUUAUCUUACAUCUAGAAGAGUCCAGAAGCCACGGGAACGAACGGGAGACCGGACGGGCUCAGGGGCAGGGCGCCCGCCCUGGCCUCGGGGCCAAUCAGCUUUAACUUCACGGAUCAUGCUCCACCGACCUAAAGAAUCAAGGAAAACCAUGCGAUUAAUGUCGGUUUGAUCCGACGGCCCAUAUUCACUUGGAAGGACUAUAUAACCAGACACCUUGGCCCCUGGAGGAGGAGAGCUCAAACCCCUAAUUCAUUAUUCAUCUUGAGAGAAGAAGCCUCUGAUCAAGCCUUAGAGCCACCACAUCAAUUAGAUCUCUAGUUUAGCAUAGUAGAAGGAGUCAAUCUUCGAUUGGUUUCCGGAUCUGUCAGGAGGAUUCUUGGUAAUUCUAUUGUUCUUCAAUUGUUCAUCUUUGUUCUUCAAUAUUAUGAAUAUGACUUUGUUCUACUUCAAUAUAUUAAUUAUAACUUUACUCUACUUGUUUAUAUUCGCAAUUAUAUUGUUCUUAGUUUAUCAUAGUUAUAUACUUGGCUUAGUUAGAUUGGAAUUAUAUACAUGUUUAGGAUCGUAUAGCAUUUAUCCAUGUGUACAGUGGGUAAAUGAUAAGUAUUGUGUAGGCGUGGUGCCUAUACCGUAUUUAUCUACGAUUGUACCCUAUAUGCCAGAUCGUGGGGUAGUUCGUGGUAGUGACAGCUCCAUUGAUUCUUAUAUAGUCCCCCUCUCGUGUAUUGGGCUGGCAGAGAAACAUUAUUACAGGGGAGUGAUUGCGAUGUUUCUCAUAUUCAUUGAUAAUAUCACUAUGCAUGGGCGUAGUCUUGUCUCGCAAUGAUUGCCAAGUAUAAUUGCACUAACUAUGAUAUGCUAGACUGUAUAGUUGAGAAUAACUUAAUUAGGAAAUAUUCUUGUAGUUCGUCCUAAUUCCAUGCUAAUGACUUGCUAGAAUAUCUAAUUGAUGUGCUUAUCAUAUUUAUAUGUGGCCAAGUUAUGCUGAUCAGAUUAAUUAUCUUUGUCACCAUUCAUAUUUUAUAUAUCUUUCAUUUGACAUUUAUCCCUAUAUGAAAGAGAUAGAUAAAUGCUCUCAAUUAUACAUGCAAUGAUAGAUACUCAAUUCUAUAUUCCAUUCUAUAAUCAACAUUGAUGAUUACUAAUCUCUUCCCAGUGGUAAAAAUAUAAAUAACGAUACCUAGAAUACUUCUCGGUUAAAAUGCUACAUUGGUAUUAAUCUAUGCGCUUGCAGAUGUCAUUUAUUAUUUAUUUAGAAGAGCAAUUGCAUAUUUCAAUACCGCGUCUUUCAUGUCAUGCUGGGGAUGACAACUUGGCUUAAGUGGUAUGAGGGAUAGGUUUGGCAUUUUUAGCGCCGUUAUCAGAAUUAGAAAACUAAGUCUACUUUUGGUAGUGACGUUAAGAAUGCCCGACAAUGAUGGUGAUUUUGGUGAUGAUAAAGAAUGAUGUCAUGAAAAAGGAUAUUAUUUUCAACUGACAUUCUCUAUGUCUUAUUCAUUUAUGUUUAUUUGUGUUUUUGUACAAUGAAAUAUAGUAAUUAAGUAUAAACUUCUAAUUAUAUUAAGCAAUCAUGAUGUUAGUAUUGAUAUAAGCUCCAUUUUUUUUACUAUUUUUAAUAUUAUGCUAGUGGGACUUAAUGACUGUAAUCUGUAAUACACUAUGCACACACUAAUCUCUAUAAUGCGCAAUAUGUUAUGCAGGCCUUGCUAUGAGUCUGCUUUUCACAAUUUAUUACCUUUCUAGGGGCUAGAAAGCAAGUUCAUGGUACUCCUAAAGGCAUAACAUUAGAGAAACUUCCUUGACCAAUAAGAUAAAUCAAGAAAACUGUAGUAGUAGCUACAACAGGAGCUGAAUAUGCAACAACAAUCCAAGGGUGCAUACCUAGAUAGAAAUUAAGUUCCCACUCAGAACCCAUAUAACAAGCUACUCCAAGUAUGAAGUGUGGAACAAUUAGCUUAUAAGGACUGCCAUUGUAUAAUCAUUCAUCAAAAGAUGAUAUGGAUGUAGAGCUAGUCGCAAAGGAUUGAAGGUGUGCAUCGUAAGGUCGAAACCGUAGCAAGCAUAUUUGUUCAUCGGGUGUCACUGAGUGUGUGUCUCUAGUGACUCAAGUGGACUCUGAAAGCCCUAGUUUGGUUUUGGAUAAUUGAUGAAACCCUAGUACUAACCUCUAUACUAAGUGUGUGUAGACUUAAUGAGGUUGGUACAUGCCAAGUGAUGGAGCAAGAGAUGAUCAUAGUGAUGAUGGUGAUGACCACAAGAUGAUCAAGUGCUCAACUUGGAAAAGAAGAAAGAGAAAAACAAAACCCUAUGGAGAUCAAGGCAAAGGUAUUGCUUAGGGUUUUGGUUUUGGUGAUCAAAACACCAUAGAGGGUGUGAUCACACUUAGGAUAGAUAGCCGUACUAUAAAGAGGGGAAUUCUUUGGCUAAGCGGUUAUUAAGUGCCACUAGGUGUCAUUGUUCAUGUGCAUGCAUUUAGAACCUAGUGAGCUAACUUAACUCCUUCAAAGAAAAUGAUUGUGAAAAUGCUAACACACGUGCACAUGUUGGUUCACACUUUGUGGUGUUGGCACACUUUGAGAAGGAGGUUGAGGUUGGAAGGGUUGAGAGAGGAUUGGGUGUCGGCGCACUUUGUGGUGUCGGCGCUUUUUGAGAAAAUGAAGUGCAUAUUUUCUAUUGCGCCGGUGGAAAAUUUGGAGAAGUCUCAGGAGUGUUUCUUGCUGAGAAACACUCACCGAACGCAGCACCGGACGCUGAGCCUAAGCGUCCGGUGUGCUGUUGUGCUUGACUCGACUAGGGUUAAGCACCGGAUGUAGGGUGACUCCUGUUCAUGCAUCCGGUGCUAUCUGACUACUGAGGGUAAACCUAACUGAGAGCACCGGACGUUCAGGGUGCGUCUAGUGGCUCACGUCCGGUGACCCUACGAGUUUGCGAACUUCCCUGCGUUUAAGACCGGUGAGCACCGGCGUCCGGUGACCUCGCGCGUUUGCAAACCUCUCUGUGUUUAAGACCGGUGUGCACCGUACGUGUCCGGUGCCAACUUAAGUGCGUCUGGUGCACUGCAGGUUACCGUUAGACUCCGACGCGUGAGAUUCAAAACGCAACACGUGGCUGUUUCUGGAGCACCGGACGUAGGUGCUGAGCGUUCGGUGCCUCCUAUUGAGCGUCCGGUGACCCUGUGUUUUGCCCAGUGAAAGAGCCAACGGCUCUAUUUGUUUGAGGGGUCUUUAAAUACUUGUUGGCCGGCUUAGGGCUCACUCUCUUGGCAUUCUAGCAUACUUGACAUCCUUGUGAGCCUAAGCAAACACCUCCCACUCAUCUCCUUCAUCGAUUAAACAUCUUUGUGAGAUUGGGAGUGAUUCCAAGCGCAUUUGCUUGAGUGAUUGCAUCUAGUGGCACUUGGGGAUCGUUCUAGCUGCGGUUUUCUUGUUACUCUUGGUGGUUGCCGCCACCUAGACGGCUUGGAGCAGCGGAGGAGGAUUGGCACGAGUUGGUGAUUGUUCGUGGCCAUCUCCCGGUGAUUGUGAGGGGUCUUGUACCUUCCUCGACGGAGAGCCGAAAGGUAACUCUAGUAAAGUGCUCAUGUCAUUGAUCGAGUUACCUCACUUGAGGAUAGGUUCUUGUGGUGUCCUAGUGAGGACGAGGUUCGUGCUACACCUCUUAGCCACUGAACCACCAAGUGUUGGUCGACACAACGGGGACGUAGCGUGCCGGCAAGCACGUGAACCUCGGGAGAAAAAUUGGUGUCUCAAUUGUGUUUGAUUGGCAUUCUCUCGGUGCUUGAUUAUUUAUAUUGGUGAUUGGUUCAUCCCCUACACGGCGGUAUAAAUAUCUCAUCCUAUCUAUUACUUACCGCAAACUAGUGUAAUUAGUUUAGUUGCUUACUUUGCCUUGUGUAGCUUAGUUCACUAGUGUUGCUUAUAGAGACUUAGUUCUUGUGUGCAUAGUGAUCAUAACAACUAGAAUUGUUGGGUAGGUGGCUUGCUAACACCCCUUUAGAGCUAGAGCAAAAAGCUUCGCUUUGUUAUUUACUAACCACUUGCUCUAGUGAGUUUGUAGUUUUUUUUUAAAUAUGCUAUUCACCCCCCUCUAGCCAGUAGGACCUUUCAGACUCAAGAACAAAAAGAACACAGAGAGUACUAAAAGGCCCUUGUUUGGUUUUGGUAAUUGAGUGACAACUUAGGUGCACUAAUAGUGUUUAUGUGAGAUACACACGAGAUUAGUCCACAUGUGAAUAUGUGAUAAUGGAGGAGCUCAUUGCAUAUGAGACAUGACAUGGAGUCAUGUGACCAAGGUGGAUAAGAUCAAGAUGAGGCUUAGCUCGAUGGAUUGGUUGCAAGUAUGAAAGGCAAAUCGGAGGCUUUGAAGUGAGGGACCAUGUGUGACGGUUGUUGACGGUUCUUAAGUAUCAAUUUUAUUUAUCAAAUAAACAAAGAGAAAGGACUAAUAUACAAACAACACCUAGAAUUAGGGUUUGAUCUGACAGAAUUCCAUGAGUUUUGUUGUUUAUCUGUUUCUGCAGGGGGUUAUCAGGAAAUAAGGAAGAAAGGCCCACAUGUCGGGAUUACAUAGAGAUAUCAAUGCACCGCGCAAUUUUCUACCAUCUAGAAGACUCUAGAAGCCACGGGAACAAAGCAGAGGCCGAAAGGGGCCUGGCCCAGGGCGCCCGCCCUGAGGACCAGGGCGCCCGCCCCCUCCUGGAUUCCAAUCAGAACUCUUUUCGCGGACGACGCUCCACCGACCUAAAGGAUCAAGGAUAACCGUCCAAUCAAUGUCGGUUUGAUCCAAUGGCUCACGUUCACUUGAGGGGACUAUAAAACCAGACCUCCUGGCCCCUGGAGGAGACAAGUUCAUCAUAGAGUUGAGAGGAGCCCUCGAAGGAAUACCUCUCCUCUAAAUAAAAUUUCUUUUUAGGCUUAGCAUCCAAUGUGAGUAGAAUUAGAUUUUCUAGUUUCUACUAGAUUGAGAGAGAUAGAAUGGAGGUGUAGAUUGGAGGAAGCCCGGCCUGUCGGUGUCUACUCCGAGUUUGUACCUGCGGGAUCAAGUUCUCCUAACCCGAAGCUUGCUCCUAGGAUUCUUCAGUAUUUCGACUUCUAAAUUCUAGUAAGUUCUUGUUUUAUUGUUCUUUUGGUUUAUGAGUUUACUUUAAUCUCUUCGCGUAGAGUUUAGAGUAAUCAUCUCUAGCGUAGACGUGGUGUUUGGGCUAGGAUACUCAUAGAUAUUCCCUGACUAGCUAGAUCGUGGUAGUAGCGAGGAACGUGACAUUUCCGAGUUACCUUUGCAGACCAUAUCUCGUUAGCAGGAAGGAUAGGGUUUAUAGGUGUGGGUUGAACAUCCUCUGUGGUGUCUAGAUUCUGUUAGCCUCCCUAAUAGAACAAUAGAUCAUCCUUACCAAGGUUAGAAAGAGAUUACAGUUGUAGUCUUCUCUAUUUAUCACUCACAUCGAGAAACAUUCUUUGUAGCCUAAAGGUUAGUAGUAAUAGACCGGGUUAGUCAGAUACACUCUUUCUCCUAGUGGUAAAAAAAAUAAAUACGAUACUCUAGAUAACUUCCCGGGUGAAGUGCUCACCGUUAUCUGUGCGCUUGCGGAUCAAUUCCUUAUUGUGUUCCCAAAUAUCAACAACGGUGAAGCUUGAGCAAGACUUGGCGCUAAUGGACCAAGACAAUAGUGAAGAGCAAGUGAGGUCAAGAUCAAUGAACCAAUACAGUCACGUGAUGAUCUAAAGUGGAUCAUAUCAUUUGGUGAUUGGUUGGUGCAUGUGUUGCAUCAACUUUGGAGGAGAUAGAAUGGAAUGCGCAAGGCAAAGGUAUAACCUAGGGCUUUUUCAUUUCAUAGAUUAGGUGUGUAGAGAAGUUGAUGACUGGAUUUAGGAUAGAUGGAUGUACUAUCAAGAGGGGCAAACUUAUUUGCAUAUCGAUCAUCUAGUGCCACUUGAGCGAUCUAACUUUGCAUAUGUGUUAGGAUCGAGUGGCGGGCAAGUUGAGAGGCUAACUUAUUUUGGAAAAUGUUUCUAAAAUGCUAACACACUUGCACAAGUUGAUCGAGUCAUGAGAGUGUUUCUCACUGAGAAACACUCGUUGGACGCUGAGGUCAGCAGUGUCGGACGCUGGACCUAUGUUUGAUGCAGUGUGGCAGAACUAUGUGCGUCACCAUGGGUCAUCGACGCAUCCGACGCUCAGGCACCACUACGUCCGAUGCACACUAUGUUUCUUAGGGUUUCAUGAGGUGUACGUGUCGGACGCUGGGAUGCGUCCAAUGAUCACCCGUUAGACACGUCUGAUGGUGAGUAACUGAGUUUGGGAACUCUUUGAGUAGCAUCCGACAUGAGGUGCCAACAUCCGAUGAAUUACGUCGGAGCGUCUGAUGCCUCUACACAUGUGAGUUAGUCGUUAGUGGCAACGGUUAAGUUCAAACAGCUAGUGACACGUGGAUACUAUGUAAGCAUCGGAUGCUAGGGAGGUGCGUCUGACCUAGUGUUGGAGCAUCCGAUGCCCACGCAUUCGGAGUAGUAAGGGCUCCAACGGCUCUAUUUGGCUUAGGGAUAUAAAUAGAUAUGGUGGCCAGCCUUAGGCUGGUUGCUAAGCACACUAAGGCCUUGGUGGCUUAUGUGGUGGUGCUUGGGAUCCCUCUAACUCACUCAUGCUUGAUAGUGUUCAUCCGAUCGAGUGAGAGAGCAAUUCUAGUACAAUUGCAUCGUGAGGUUCCAUUGAGUGGCACUAGGUGUUUGUGUUGCAAGACAAUAGUGCUUGUUUCUCUUGGAGAUUGCCACCUCCUAGACGGCUUGGUGGCUUGUGACUCUAUUGAAGCAUGCAAGGAGAUUGUGUGAUGCCCUGGAGAAGAGAUUGUGAGGGGUACGGUGCUCACCCCGCGGGGAUAACGAAGAGUAACUCUAGUAGAGCGAGACACGAAGGGCGAUAAGUGGUCUGACCAGGUCAAGUGCUAGAGCUUGUGGUAAGCACUCCACGUGGGAGAAUGUGACUUGUGAGUCACCACUAGCAAGAGGACUGCUGGCAACCUUGGAGCUUGUCUCAACAAGGACUUAGCUUCGUGGCAACCAAGUAAACCUUGGUAAAAAAUCACCGUGUCAACAUUGACUACUAUUCUUUCUGGUUUACAUUCGCCAUACACAAACUUAUAUGUACUUUCUAUAUAUAGUGCUUGUGUUGCUCUUAACUAGUUUAGCCUGUGUAGCUUGUUAGUUAUCUUCUUGAUUGUGUAGCUAGAAGUAGUUUCCUUGCAUGGCUAAUUUGGUUUGUGUAACCUUGUUAGUCACGUUGCUUAGUAUAUGUAGCUAAGUAAUUUGUGCUCCAUAACUUGGCUUUGUGUAGCUUAGGAGCUUUGUGCUUUUGCUUACUAGUUGUGUAGAAGCUCCCCCGAUUUGUAAAGUACUAGUGACUUAGGUUUGUGUGACCUUUCUUCUAGAUUUGGUUAGGUGGGCUUUUGCUAAGGAAGCACCUUGAUUGCUUGUUUAGGAUCUUUUAGAAGGUGCUAGAGAACUUAUAUAGAGGGGUGUUGUCUUGGCUAGACCUAUAGUUUUAGCCAGCGUGAUAAGUUUUAAAAAGGACUAUUCACCCCCAUCUAGUCUACCAACUCGACCCUUCAAGUAUGCAACGGUUUAUCUUGGUUCAGGCUAUUAGGGCCCUAGAUCCAGCAAUAGAUGAUCCUUGUACUCAAGAGCAC
RNAcentral lists this long non-coding RNA (11195 nucleotides) under Sorghum bicolor (sorghum). RNAcentral describes it as "long non-coding RNA (SBIC_LNC011646)". The record is from RNAcentral. Lineage: Eukaryota; Viridiplantae; Streptophyta; Magnoliopsida; Poales; Poaceae.